Molecule: microRNA, 24 nt
Filed under: Gossypium raimondii (Peruvian cotton)
Lineage: Eukaryota; Viridiplantae; Streptophyta; Magnoliopsida; Malvales; Malvaceae
Description: gra-miR8761
Source: miRBase by way of RNAcentral
UGUUGACGUUGCAUACAUGUGGAU